AGUGAAUAUAGUUUAUUAAAAACUUUA
This 27-nucleotide transfer RNA is filed under the name Litoria sp. SCD-2016. Its description in RNAcentral is "partial tRNA-His". Lineage: Eukaryota; Metazoa; Chordata; Amphibia; Anura; Pelodryadidae. The record is from RNAcentral.